GAGCUGCACCUCGCCUAAACCAAACAGAGUGAUUCCAGCAGCAUCCUGUGGCGUGUAACAUCCGAGAAACUUUGGACCCGAAUCUUCCAACUCUGUGCAGAGUUCAUGUGUCGAGUCAGAAAGAUUUCUGUUUGGCUGAAAAACAUGCUUCUUGCAAAAACUUCUGACUUGUUUCCACCAAGCUGGUUCGUUUCUGGAAGAUUCUGGACAAACACUCACCUCUCUAACUCACCUGCCUGUCCAACAGCACAAACUCCUCACAGAAGCCUGACCGGUCGGUCCUCCCGUCAUGCUGCUCCCAAGUAAAAAUACUCAUCAGCAC
Oreochromis aureus is the source of this 322-nucleotide long non-coding RNA. The record is from Ensembl. NCBI's taxonomy places the organism in Eukaryota, Metazoa, Chordata, Actinopteri, Cichliformes, Cichlidae.